RNAcentral lists this ribosomal RNA (330 nucleotides) under uncultured eukaryote. RNAcentral describes it as "partial 18S ribosomal RNA". It matches the Rfam family "Eukaryotic small subunit ribosomal RNA", at positions 1470 to 1796 of the family's 1831-position model. The record is from RNAcentral.
CCCUUAGAUGUUCUGGGCCGCACGCGUGCUACACUGAUGCAUUCAACGAGUCUAAAACCUGGUCUGAUAGGGCUGGGUAAUCUUUUGAAAGUGCAUCGUGAUUGGGAUAGAUGAUUGCAAUUCUUCAUCUUCAACGAGGAAUGCCUAGUAAACGCAAGUCAUCAGCUUGCAUUGAUUACGUCCCUGCUCUUUGUACACACCGCCCGUCGCUCCUACCGAUUGAAUGAUCCGAUGAAUACCAUGGAUUGAGAGUACGAAUAGGUUCGCUUAUUUCUGCUGCUCGAGAAGUGGAGUAAAUCUUAUCAUUUAGAGGAAGGAGAAGUCGUAACA